AUGACUUCUCUGCUUUUCUGCUCCUUCCAGGAUCUAAAAGAGAAGAAGGAAGUUGUUGAAGAAACAGAAAAUGGCAGAGAUGCACCAGCCAACGGCAAUGCUAACGAGGAAAACGGAGAGCAGGAGGCUGACAACGAAGUAGACGAAGAGGAGGAGGAAGGUGGUGAAGAAGAGGACGAGGAGGAAGAGGGUGAUGGUGAGGAAGAGGAUGGUGAUGAUGACGACGAAGCUGAGGGAGCCACAGGCAAACGGGCAGCUGAGGAUGAUGAGGAUGACGACGUCGAUCCCAAGAAGCAGAAAACCGAUGAAGAUGACUAGGCAGCAUUUUUUUUUUUUUUUUUUUUUUUUAAAUAAGGAGGAAAACAAACCAACAAAAAAGGCCAGCGCGUCCUCUUCACCCUUGGGUCUCCCCUUGGGACUCCCAUUGCAGCCCCCUUUCCCUCACACAGCCCUUCCUCCCCCCUCCGCCGUGGUCAUCCUCACCAAGUAGAGUGAACCCCAUCCCCGCCCCCCGGCGCGGCGCUGCCACUCAACGAACAUGGAAAUGAUUCGCCCGUUAGCGGGGAGAGAAAAACCCCCCUUCCCCCACAAACCCUCUCCCCCCCCAAGCACCAAAACUUCAAGGCCCUGCUUUCUUUCUUAAAAGUACUUUAAAGGAGAAUUUGUUUGUAUUUUUUAUUUACAUUUUAUAUUUUUGUACAUAUUGUUAGGAGGUCCGCCAUUUUUAAGUGAUCUCGGAUUGACCAAAAGGGGGGCUUUGAAGUGUAUAUCUCUCUUGUUACCUAUCUCUGACUUUACUUGUGGUGUGACCAGGCCCAAACCAUUAUCUCAAAGGAGAAUAAAACAAAACCUUGUAAAAAAAAAAAUUAAAAA
RNAcentral lists this long non-coding RNA (873 nucleotides) under Serinus canaria (Common canary). Its description in RNAcentral is "lncRNA (ENSSCAG00000014427.1)". The record is from RNAcentral. Lineage: Eukaryota; Metazoa; Chordata; Aves; Passeriformes; Fringillidae.